This 401-nucleotide ribosomal RNA is filed under the name Lepidophthalmus eiseni. RNAcentral's name for it is "partial 12S ribosomal RNA". It matches the Rfam family "Microsporidia small subunit ribosomal RNA", at positions 751 to 1279 of the family's 1311-position model. Lineage: Eukaryota; Metazoa; Arthropoda; Malacostraca; Decapoda; Callianassidae. The record is from RNAcentral.
UUUAGUCAAUUUUAAAGACCGAGAUAAUAAAAGCUAUGUUCUUCAAACCUAAAGGAUUUGGCGGUAAUUUAGUCCAGUUAGAGGAACCUGUUUGGUAAACGAUAAACCACGAAGAAUCUUACCUACCUUUAAAGUUUGUAUACCGUCAUUAUUAGAUAACUUUCAAUGAAAAAGUUAUUUCAAUAAAUUUACCUUAAUAUAUUAGAUCAAGGUGCAGCUAAUAAGUAGGUCGUAAUGGGUUACAAUAAAACUAACUUACCAACGAAUAUAAAAUGUAAACAUUUUAUUGAAGGAGGAUUUAAUAGUAAAAUCGGUUUAAUAAGCCUGUUUGAUAAUGGAUCUAAAUUGAGUACAUAUCGCCCGUCGCUUUCAUUCCACAGAUGAAAUAAGUCGUAACAUAG